GGGGGCGACCUGGAUUCGACGGGGGUAGCAAAACUGGAGGUGCAUGCCGAGGUGCAGUCACCUCGUAAAUCAGCUGCAAAACUUUUAGUUGCCAACGACGACAACUACGCCUUAGCUGCUUAAUCGCAGCUAACCUCUGACUGAUAUGUGCUUGUGCGCUCAGACCCAGAGGUCAUCCACACAAGAUCGUGACUGACCGCGUUCGGCGUCGUAGUCACUAAAGCAAUCCGAACUCGCCAAGCAGCAACGUGUCGGUUCGUGGCUUCGCGGCUAAACUAAAUAAGCGACUAAGCAUGUAGUAUCCAAAGGCGGAGCACUUUCGGACGCGGGUUCGAUUCCCGCCGCCUCCACCA
This 353-nucleotide transfer-messenger RNA is filed under the name Gammaproteobacteria (g-proteobacteria). RNAcentral's name for it is "JACDDA01 sp013817245 Standard tmRNA". It matches the Rfam family "transfer-messenger RNA". Rfam says of the family: Bacterial tmRNA, also known as 10Sa RNA or SsrA, is named for its dual tRNA and mRNA-like properties. Its role is to liberate the mRNA from a stalled ribosome. To accomplish this part of the tmRNA is used as a reading frame that ends in a translation stop signal. The record is from RNAcentral. RNAcentral also lists the same sequence under 1 other name. Lineage: Bacteria; Pseudomonadati; Pseudomonadota.